GGGGCUUUUUUGCUCGUUGUUCACUUUCGCCUUCUAAGAGAGACUUAUAGAGCUCUCUCAAUUGCUCACUUCUGUGUAAGCCCAUAUUAUUGAUAUGGACAUCCUCAGCUUGAACUGUUUUCCUUGUCUUGAUGUCUCCAUUGUAGUAGCCAUCACACCAUUCCAGCACCCCAUGUUGCCUAGUCGAUGGUGACCAGAAAAUCGCAUAGCUCCACUGGAUGCUCUUGACAGCAACAGCAAGCUGCUUUCUGAGAAACCCAGGUUCGCAAGCCAUUAGCCAUAAGGGGCUUAAGAUUUGGUUCCAACGCC
Molecule: unclassified non-coding RNA, 309 nt
Filed under: Hevea brasiliensis (rubber tree)
Lineage: Eukaryota; Viridiplantae; Streptophyta; Magnoliopsida; Malpighiales; Euphorbiaceae
Source: RNAcentral